RNAcentral lists this ribosomal RNA (857 nucleotides) under marine metagenome. Its description in RNAcentral is "bacterial SSU rRNA". It matches the Rfam family "Bacterial small subunit ribosomal RNA", at positions 8 to 914 of the family's 1533-position model. The record is from RNAcentral.
AGAGUUUGAUCCUGGCUCAGAACGAACGCUGGCGGCAGGCCUAACACAUGCAAGUCGAGCGCACCUUCGGGUGAGCGGCGGACGGGUUAGUAACGCGUGGGAACAUACCCUUUUCUACGGAAUAGCCUCGGGAAACUGAGAGUAAUACCGUAUAAGCCCUUCGGGGGAAAGAUUUAUCGGGAAAGGAUUGGCCCGCGUUAGAUUAGAUAGUUGGUGGGGUAAUGGCCUACCAAGUCUACGAUCUAUAGCUGGUUUUAGAGGAUGAUCAGCAACACUGGGACUGAGACACGGCCCAGACUCCUACGGGAGGCAGCAGUGGGGAAUCUUAGACAAUGGGCGCAAGCCUGAUCUAGCCAUGCCGCGUGUGUGAUGAAGGUCUUAGGAUCGUAAAGCACUUUCGCCAGGGAUGAUAAUGACAGUACCUGGUAAAGAAACCCCGGCUAACUCCGUGCCAGCAGCCGCGGUAAUACGGAGGGGGUUAGCGUUGUUCGGAAUUACUGGGCGUAAAGCGUACGUAGGCGGAUUGGAAAGUUGGGGGUGAAAUCCCAGGGCUCAACCCUGGAACUGCCUCCAAAACUAUCAGUCUAGAGUUCGAGAGAGGUGAGUGGAAUUCCAAGUGUAGAGGUGAAAUUCGUAGAUAUUUGGAGGAACACCAGUGGCGAAGGCGGCUCACUGGCUCGAUACUGACGCUGAGGUACGAAAGUGUGGGGAGCAAACAGGAUUAGAUACCCUGGUAGUCCACACCGUAAACGAUGAAUGCCAGUCGUCGGGCAGUAUACUGUUCGGUGACACACCUAACGGAUUAAGCAUUCCGCCUGGGGAGUACGGUCGCAAGAUUAAAACUCAAAGGAAUUGAC